GGGUCAAAGUGAAAAUGCAUGCUAAAAAUGAUAUUUGUACAUUUUCAGUAAAUUGUAAAGCAUUAAAAUUUCUUGCAGGGUUGCCACAUGAAUACUUUUUCUCUAAUUCUUAGGCAAUUAAACCCUUUUUGACCCAUUGUAUAAAAUGAUUUAAUCAACGUGUGGUUGCCAAUGAUCUCAAUGGUUGGCCGAGUUUAAGGAUCGUAAUCUUUAUCUGCUCCCUGGAUGUAUUGAAAUGUGUUAACAGGUGUUAGAGAAAUUGACAAUUUCAUCAAAUGUGGAAGGUGCAAAAAGGGAUUUUUCGUUCAUCAAAAAGAAAAUUUAUUUGAUAAUCAUUAGGGAAACAGAUUUAUGCAUAGUUAUUUGCGGAUUGUCAGAUUUAUCCCAUUUUUAAAGUCCUUGCCAAGUCUCAGAAUUAAAAAUUUGAUCAUUAAACCACAUGGAUCUUGAUUGGAUAAAUUCUAUAACUCACUGGCACCAAUGUAUAUUUAUCAAAUUUAUGCACAAUUAUUCCCUGAAGAAUACUCAUUUUCAUCCUGUUAAGUUUAUAUUUAAGUCACAAUGCCAGGCUCACAUAUUUAUUUUAAAAAAUCCUCCUGUCACAGAAAAACGCUGCAGUUCUUUUAAAAAACUCAACUACUGUAUCAAAAGCCUGUCAACAUGCAUGAGAUUGUGAGUGCAAUCUUAAUUGACUAUAAGUGUUGGUUUUCCCACUGAAGGUCUGUUGUUAUAUCCAAACUCUUUAAGCUUCCUCCACCAAUAAAAAAUGACUGCUACCAAAACAAAAGUGUUGAAAGUGGCAUUAAAACCAAAAAUAAAUCAAUGAAUCACAUUCAUUAUAGAAUGUAAAAUAAAUAGGUAUUUCUAAAAAUUGCAUUAAUAAAUUUUUAAUUUGCUUACUUAUUAUGUUUCUGUGACCAUUAAAACUUAAUUUAAUUAUGUGGGAACAAAACCAAUUUUGAUUAUCAAGUAAUACGUGGUGUAAAUAUUCCACAUCUUGGGUGAAUUUUUGGUUUUUGAUAACAAAUUGUUGCUGAAUUCUGUAAAUGGUUUUGUUUAUUCGUUUCACUGUUUGUAAUUAUAAUAUCUUUGAAAAUUUCUAUCUAUUGAAAAUUUAAUCCUGAUUAUUGAUUAUCUAUUGUUUUGGAAACAAGAGUGAAAUUCUAGGAUGCAAUCUCAUCGAAGGCUGUAAGGCGCCAACCCCUGAGAUGAAUUGUAGCCUAGAAAACCACUCUCGUUUCUAAAACUGUAGAUAAUUAUCGAUGAUUUUUUCGCUUGAGCCAAUACGGUGAAAAGGAGAAAAGCAAUCGAGUUGAGAUGACCAAUGAUAAUCUGUUCAUCGCUAUUUUACCUAUAACGAUGUCAUUUUCAUUAGCAACGACAUGUGCCUCCUUAGUUUCUAGCGAUAAUUUUCCAUCUCAAGCAAGUAGCAUGAUAAUUAUGAAAAAUUAUCCCCCCAAAAAAUCAAAGGAAAAAUGCACAAAAUAGCGAUAAUCUAUAAUUAUUAGGAAUGAAAAAUUUGAUAGACAGAACUUUUCAAAAAGAUCAUGAUUUAUGUGUUUACAGAUUUUUCUAAAGCAAUGUUAUUGGCACAUUAUGUAGUCUCAUUCCCAAAUCUAUUUCACCAAGAGAGAAUAAAAUUCUUAUUCAAGUAGCUUGUGACGAAAAAUGAUUAAACAAAAUUCAAAGAUUUAUGAAAAUAGCAAUAUAAAAGAAAUACAUUACAUUUUACACAACAUGCAUGUACAAUGAUG
This 1754-nucleotide long non-coding RNA is filed under the name Mytilus galloprovincialis (Mediterranean mussel). Lineage: Eukaryota; Metazoa; Mollusca; Bivalvia; Mytilida; Mytilidae. The record is from RNAcentral.